RNAcentral lists this ribosomal RNA (433 nucleotides) under uncultured bacterium. RNAcentral's name for it is "partial 16S ribosomal RNA". It matches the Rfam family "Bacterial small subunit ribosomal RNA", at positions 29 to 507 of the family's 1533-position model. The record is from RNAcentral.
AACGAACGCUGGCGGCAUGCCUAACACAUGCAAGUCGAACGAUGCCUCCGGGCAUAGUGGCGCACGGGUGCGUAACGCGUGGGAAUCUGCCCUUGGGUUCGGAAUAUCUCGCCGAAAGGCGAGCUAAUACCGGAUGAUGACGUAAGUCCAAAGAUUUAUCGCCCAAGGAUGAGCCCGCGUAGGAUUAGCUAGUUGGUGGGGUAAAGGCCCACCAAGGCGACGAUCCUUAGCUGGUCUGGGAGUAUGAUCAGCCACACUGGGACUGAGACACGGCCCAGACUCCUACGGGAGGCAGCAGUGGGGAAUAUUGGACAAUGGGCGAAAGCCUAAUCCAGCAAUGCCGCGUGAGUGAUGAAGGCCUUAGGGUUGUAAAGCUCUUUUACCCGGGAUGAUAAUGACAGUACCGGGAGAAUAAGCGCCGGCUAACUCCGUG